RNAcentral lists this ribosomal RNA (624 nucleotides) under uncultured bacterium. RNAcentral's name for it is "bacterial SSU rRNA". It matches the Rfam family "Bacterial small subunit ribosomal RNA", at positions 59 to 696 of the family's 1533-position model. The record is from RNAcentral.
CAGUCGAACGAGAGAUGAGGAGCUUGCUUCCUCAAUCGAGUGGCGAACGGGUGAGCAAUGCGUGAGGAACCUGCCUCAAAGAGGGGGACAACAGUUGGAAACGACUGCUAAUACCGCAUAAGCCCACAGCUCGGCAUCGAGCAGAGGGAAAAGGAGCAAUCCGCUUUGAGAUGGCCUCGCGUCCGAUUAGCUAGUUGGUGAGGUAACGGCCCACCAAGGCGACGAUCGGUAGCCGGACUGAGAGGUUGAACGGCCACAUUGGGACUGAGACACGGCCCAGACUCCUACGGGAGGCAGCAGUGGGGAAUAUUGCACAAUGGGGGAAACCCUGAUGCAGCGACGCCGCGUGGAGGAAGAAGGUCUUCGGAUUGUAAACUCCUGUUGUUGAGGAAGAUAAUGACGGUACUCAACAAGGAAGUGACGGCUAACUACGUGCCAGCAGCCGCGGUAAAACGUAGGUCACAAGCGUUGUCCGGAAUUACUGGGUGUAAAGGGAGCGCAGGCGGGAGAACAAGUUGGAAGUGAAAUCCAUGGGCUCAACCCAUGAACUGCUUUCAAAACUGUUUUUCUUGAGUAGUGCAGAGGUAGGCGGAAUUCCCGGUGUUGUGUUGUAUUGCGUAGAUA